GUGGGGAAUUUUGGACAAUGGGCGCAAGCCUGAUCCAGCAAUGCCGCGUGCAGGAAGAAGGCCUUCGGGUUGUAAACUGCUUUUGUACGGAGCGAAAAGGCUCUCUCUAAUACAGGGGGCUCAUGACGGUACCGUAAGAAUAAGCACCGGCUAACUACGUGCCAGCAGCCGCGGUAAUACGUAGGGUGCGAGCGUUAAUCGGAAUUACUGGGCGUAAAGCGUGCGCAGGCGGCUUUGUAAGACGGAUGUGAAAGCCCCGGGCUUAACCUGGGAAGUGCAUUCGUGACUGCAAGGCUAGAGUGUGUCAGAGGGAGGUGGAAUUCCGCGUGUAGCAGUGAAAUGCGUAGAUAUGCGGAGGAACACCGAUGGCGAAGGCAAUCCCCUGGGCCUGCACUGACGCUCAUGCACGAAAGCGUGGGGAGCAAACAGGAUUAGAAACCCGUGUAGUCC
RNAcentral lists this ribosomal RNA (450 nucleotides) under uncultured bacterium. Its description in RNAcentral is "bacterial SSU rRNA". It matches the Rfam family "Bacterial small subunit ribosomal RNA", at positions 354 to 796 of the family's 1533-position model. The record is from RNAcentral.